This 336-nucleotide ribosomal RNA is filed under the name uncultured Verrucomicrobiota bacterium. RNAcentral describes it as "bacterial SSU rRNA". It matches the Rfam family "Bacterial small subunit ribosomal RNA", at positions 29 to 351 of the family's 1533-position model. Lineage: Bacteria; Pseudomonadati; Verrucomicrobiota. The record is from RNAcentral.
AACGAACGCUGGCGGCGUGGAUAAGACAUGCAAGUCGAACGGGGUCGUAUGAGAUUAUAUCAAGUGCGGUCCAGUGGCGGACGGGUGCGUAACACGUGAGUAAUCUGCCGGAAGGAGGGGGAUAGCCCAUGGAAACGUGGAUUAAUACCCUGUGUGGUCUCAACAGGCAUCUGUUGACGACUAAACGUGGCGCAAGCUGCGGCCUUCUGAUGAACUCGCGGCCUAUCAGCUUGUUGGCGGGGUAACGGCCCACCAAGGCGAUGACGGGUAGCUGGUCUGAGAGGAUGACCAGCCACACUGGAACUGAGACACGGUCCAGACACCUACGGGUGGCAG